Molecule: non-coding RNA, 223 nt
Organism: Vigna angularis (adzuki bean)
Lineage: Eukaryota; Viridiplantae; Streptophyta; Magnoliopsida; Fabales; Fabaceae
Source: Rfam
ACAAAUUAUGAAGUCGCCGUCUGUUCUAUAGGCUCGUGCCUCUGUAUCCUUACGUUCUAAAGCGACAGGAACUGAAGUCUGGUGGAUGAAGUAUGAUCCCGUGAUCAGAGCGUGAUGAACAGUAGUGUGAGGUUUUCCCUCUGGGCGAGACUGUGCACCAAAUGUAAAGGAUCGUUCCUUGAUUUUACAAGCCAGGGAUGAUUACAGAAUUAUCUGACAGAUU